GAACCUGUAGUUUAAUGAGAAUUUCUCGCCUACAACGAGAGGGUUUGAAGGUUUU
RNAcentral lists this transfer RNA (55 nucleotides) under Ophidascaris baylisi. RNAcentral describes it as "tRNA-Val". Lineage: Eukaryota; Metazoa; Nematoda; Chromadorea; Rhabditida; Anisakidae. The record is from RNAcentral.